RNAcentral lists this long non-coding RNA (2742 nucleotides) under Mus musculus (house mouse). RNAcentral describes it as "long non-coding RNA chr12:111091199-111093941". The record is from RNAcentral. Lineage: Eukaryota; Metazoa; Chordata; Mammalia; Rodentia; Muridae.
UUGACCCACAAUGCGACAGGACUUAAUCCAUUCCUGGCAGUGGAGACUUCAUUAGGUGACAAGUGAUGUCCAUCCUGGGGUCUGUCUCCCUGUUAUUCCAUGUAUAUAUUUUAAGGAGCUUCUAUUGUAUUAGGUGUCUAUACAACCCCUUAAAUGGGCCCUAGUUUUAGCUGUCCGUCCCUGUAUUUCCUCCCCUCUUCCCCAUCCCUCCCCUUUCCUGCUUGAUCCUCUUCCAGUCCAUCCCUUAUUCGUCUGUGACUGUGUAUUCCAUUUCCCGUCUUAGGGUGACUCAGCACAGCCCGCUCAUCCCCUGUUCUACACAGAUCUUCUGUGGCAACAUGGAUUGUAGCUUACUUAUAGUUACUUAUAGCUGACACCAACACAUGUCAUAUUUGUCUUUCUGGGUCUGGGGUACCUCACUUAGGAUGAUUUUUUUCUAGCUUCAUACAUUUACCUGUGAAUUUCAUGAUUUCAUUUUUUUAUAAACAACUGAGUGAUAUUCCACUGUGUAAAUAUACCACGUUUUCUUCAUUCAUUCACAGACAGACAUCUAGGUUGUACCUUGCUAUUAUGAAUAGAGCAGCAAUGAGCACGGUUGAGCAACUGUCCUUGUAGUAGGAUGAAGCCUUCUUUGGGUAUAUCUUAGAGUGGUAUAGUUGCGUCUGGAGGUAGGUCUAGUCUAGCUCGCCAAGGAACUGCUACGCUGAUUUCCAUAGUAGCUGCAUAAGUUUGCACCGCACUGCCCCCCCCCCCCAAGCAAUGGAUGAGUGUUCCCCUUACUCCAUAGCCUCUCCAGUAUGAGCCGUCAAUUCUUUUAUUGAUUGGCCAUUCUGAUUGUUCACCUUACAUUUCCAGGUAGUGUCUCUCGCCGAGUCAGCAAAGCUUUCUGCAGCAGUCACUCAGGGCCACCCUGUCCCUGCCUUCCCACUGCUGGGUCACCAGCACGCACCGCUGCGCUAGCAUCAUGUGCCAGCAUGUGCCUCUCUCUGAGGAAUGCCAUGCAGCCACAGUUAGAUUACAGAUUGAUUUCUUUUUCCCCUUAAAACCCGUUCAGCCAGCCCUGUGAUUCCCGACAUGCUUCCCGUGCUAACGAGGCAGGCAUUCCAGGAACCCUAAGCCCCCAGCCCAUGGCCUUUGCCCACCCUGGAUAUUUCAAGGAUAAUACACCCUGUUGUAUUUCAAGGUUAAUGGCUAAAAAGCUGUCUAUUGACUGGUACAGAGCAGGUUCUCUCAUGGGUGUCAAGGCUCCACAUGUUAAUGUACUUGUUACAACCUUUAGAUCCUCUGUAGAUCCACCAAAAUGAAAGUAGCCUCAAUAGUUGGCUUUAUCAGAGGCAGCCUGGUUUAUGUAGUGAGAUACUCUCUCUGACAAACAAAACAGUAGCUGUGGUGGUGGGUUUUUUGUUUUGUUUUAUUUAAAAUUUACAAAAUAUUAUGUACAUGUGUGUGUGUUAUUUGUGUCAUGUGUCAUGUAUGUGGGGAUUACAGUAGAGACUAGAAGAGAGAGUCAGGCUCCUACUUUCCCAAGUUGGAAUUACAGGCAGUUGUUAGCUAUCUGUGUGCCAAAAAUCAAACUCAGGUCCUCCUUUGUGGUACUCAUAACUGCUGAGCCAUCUCUCUUGCCUGUCCUAUUUCCUUUUACACUAAAUAAGUUUCUAAAUCCUAGAAGAUAGAAGUUGAAGCAGGAUGUUUAAAGUGUUUAUAGGCUCACUAGGUGUAUAGCCAUUUGGACAUUUCUCUGGGGGAUUCCGAUGUGCAUUGGGGUUGUAUUCUAUGUUGUGUUUGUUUAUUCCCACGUGAGCAUGAUAGGCUUUGAAGGAGCCGGCUCUGGUGCGUGCAGUCUUGCUGUCCUCAGGCUGACUACUGGUCUCUGUUUUUCAGUGGACGAGUACAUCGCUAUCGCCAAAGAGAAGCACGGGUACAACAUGGAGCAGGUAACAGUUCAUUUCUUGUUGUGGAAAGCAGAGCUUGCCAUGGACCCACCGGGUCAGUGUCUUCUGUGGGCUGUCAGUCUUUUUUUUUUUUUUUUUUUUUUAAAGAUUUAUUUAUUUAUUAUAUGUAAGUACACUGUAGUUGUCUUCAGACACUCCAGAAGAGGGCGUCAGAUCUUGUUACAGAUGGUUGUGAGCCACCAUGUGGUUGCUGGGAUUUGAACUCCGGACCUUCGGAAGAGCAGUCGGGUGCUCUUACCCACUGAGCCAUCUCACCAGCCCCCGGGCUGUCAGUCUUAUUGAGUGGGCAAAAGGCAGUAGCUGCUGACUAGUUUGGUUUUCUCAUUGGAAUGUGUAAUUGGUUUCUUGUCCUGUUGUGGAAUACCUUACAGUCCCUUAGGGUCUCUGACUGUAUAACGACUUAUGGGCGUAUCUCAGACUUGUUGCUUACAACACCCAACUGACUGGCUGAGUUGAGGUACAGGCUUAGAGUUCUCGUGUGAGCUUUUGCCUAUAGAUGAGCUUCCCACAGCUGUACUCACAGAGUUUCUUUCCACUGCAAGCGCUUCUGUAUGAUAGUGACCUGGAGACAAGCGUCUAGCUGUUCUCAGCCAUCCUGUUUCUGCCUUGGCUGUUUGGCUGUCCUUCCCUCCUGUCAUAGCCUUAGGAACAGAGUCAGCCCACCCCAGACAAGGAGCCUGUAAAACGCCUUAAGAGGAACAUAUUUGAGUCUAAAAUGGGAGGAAGAACGGAGGAACCGCACACAAACUCACUUCUAGAGCUGGUUUCUCAGUGAGUUGAAACAAAUACC